RNAcentral lists this unclassified non-coding RNA (419 nucleotides) under Ascomycota sp. Its description in RNAcentral is "partial contains small subunit ribosomal RNA, internal transcribed spacer 1, and 5.8S ribosomal RNA". The stretch from base 1 to 47 matches the Rfam family "Eukaryotic small subunit ribosomal RNA", at positions 1785 to 1831 of the family's 1831-position model. The record is from RNAcentral. Lineage: Eukaryota; Fungi; Ascomycota.
AAAGUCGUAACAAGGUCUCCGUAGGUGAACCUGCGGAGGGAUCAUUAACACGUUUCCAUAACGUUUAACUAACCACCAAAACGCGUGAAUUCAACUGAAUUACAUUAUACCCGCCUUGAGAGGGAGAGAACCUGUCUGUAUACACGGAGUGAUGAGUGUGCUUAUUUUAAUGUUGGCAACAGCAUUAAUUAGGCAUGCGGUGUAUCUAGGCUUGUAAUGCUCGACAUUACGGGAUCUCUCUCAUUCAAGCUAUCAACAAUUAAUCAAUGUUCCCUUCAUCGCUGGAACGAACAACACCCCUUUCACCCCUUUAUAACUAACUAGACUGAUAUUUCUUAACUGUAAGGCUUGCUUUACUUUGAGGAUUGAUUUAAUCAAAUAUCUAAGCACAACUCUUAGCAACGGAUAUCUUGGUUCUC